Molecule: microRNA, 23 nt
Filed under: Drosophila pseudoobscura
Lineage: Eukaryota; Metazoa; Arthropoda; Insecta; Diptera; Drosophilidae
Description: dps-miR-137-5p
Gene: dps-miR-137-5p
Source: miRBase by way of RNAcentral
ACGUGUAUACUCAUAGCUAUAAC